UCUUAAUUUACUCUUUAGCACUUGUAAGACAGACCACUUCAGCAAUGGACUCAUCUAAAAAAAAAAAAAAAAAACCAGACUGAGGAAGAUCAAAGGAGUCUUCAUAAGGUUUCAUAUCUAUCGGGCAGAAAGACAAAGCAAAACCACGUAGCUGUGACUUCAAAGCGGCUGCAGGAAGGUUUAGCUUACACGUGAGACGUGUUCCAGCUUUGAUGCACAAACAGUUUGUCACCGUGAGAGUCAUCAACAGACAAAGUCAUCACAAAGGUCCUCAUCCGAAGCCUCAAGCAGCAGUUUGGAUAAACCAGUCAUUUUGGCAGCACGUGGCCUUGACAGAGCUGCAGUCAUCAAAGGUAGGCCUGCAGGAAUAAACCUUUCCCGAUGUCUGUUCGGUGGUGUAGCAGCCAGUAACUGGACUAAACACUCAUCAGAUAUAAGAAAAAAAGACUUCUUCGUUAGCUGGGUCGCGGGGGGCGCUGGAGCCUAUCCCAGCUGUCAUAGGGCGAGAGGCGGGGUACACCCUGGACAGGUCGCCAGUCUGUCGCAGGGCCAACACACAGGGACAGACAACCAUUCACGCUCACAUUCACUCACACCUUCACACCUAGUGACAAUUUGGAUUAUCCAAUUAACCUAUCCCCUCAAACUGCAUGUCUUUGGACGGUGGGAGGAAGCCAGAGUACCCGGAGGGGAGAGCAUGCAAACUCCACACAGAAAGACCCCGGCCUGAUGGUGGAAUUGAACUCAGGACCUUCUUGCUGUGCGGCAACAGUGCUAACCACCGUGCCACCGUGCUGCCCCUUUUACAACUAUGCUCUAUAAAUUUCUAGUAUGGAGGGCCAGAAAUUACAAAUUGAAUUAAAUAAAUACAUCAUUAAAUAAUUUAUUAAAUGUGCCAAUAAUUAAUUAAUUACAUAUAUAAUUAAUUAAUGAAAUGUGUCAUAAAUUACUUAAAAAUUGAAAUAAAUAAAUAAAUAAUUGCAUGUGUAAUAUUCCAGAACUUUUCUCUUUAUAAUGCAGGGGUGGAGGAACUCCAGGCCUCAAGGGCAGGUGUCCUGCAGGCUUUAGAUGUGUCCUGAUUUAUAUGGCUAAAUUACAUCCUCAACAUGUCUUGAAGUUCUCUAGAGGCCUGGUAAUAAACUAAUCAUUUGUUUCAGGUGUGUUGACCCAGGGUGAUAUCUAAAACCUGCAUAACACUAGCCCUUAAGGACUGCUCGAGUUCCCCACCUCUGGAUUCACUUUAUUUCAACAUGUAAGUUCAGGUUCUAUCACUAGAGGGCGCCAGAUUAUCAUUUUAUAACACUCCUUGGUCCUGCCAACCUGCAUUUAGGAAGCACAAGUAAUUCUUUGCAUGUGUAAAAUUACUUCCGAAAUAUUGUAUUAAUUCUGAUUAUUGACCGAUUCUAAUGUUCAAUUUCAACUUUAAAUUGAAUGUAAAUUGUAUGCGACACGUUGAGUUGGACUAAAUGUUAUGAUACUAUAUGUUUACUAUACACGCAUUCGGAUAUAAAGCUGUUGCCUUGAUGACAGUUUGUAGUGCAGUGUGUGGGGUUAAAAAUCAAUAGGAUAACUCAUCAUCUUUUUGAUUGCCUAACCAUGCUUUAUUGGUUUUGGAAAUGGGCUUUGUGCAAUGACUCUAGAUAAGUUCGCAACCUUUUUUGUGCCACGGACCGGUUUACGUCCGACAAUAUUUUCACGGACCGGCCUUUAAGGUGUUGCGGAUAAAUACAACAAAAUAAAACCAGUACCGGUACCAAAAAAAAGAAGAUUUAUUCAUAACACACAGGAAAAGACCCAGGAAAACCGAGUUAACGAUAACAAUGAUUUUUUUUUUUUUUUAAAUAACGCUAAAAACCGACAAAAAGCCUGAAAAUCAUACAUUUUACACCUGAGCCUCAACUCUCGCGGCCCGGUACCAAACGACUCACGGACCGGUACCGGUCUGUGGCACGGGGGUUGGGAACAACUGCUCUAGAAUAUAACCUACACAUAGUUUGAGCUUCAUACAUGAAAUUUGGUAAACAAAUGCCAAUGUACAAAAAAAUCCCAAGGCCCCGUGAUUUUAAAUUAAUAUAUGAUCUAAACUUGAGUGGGUGACUUGAGUGAAUCUAAAUUGGGAAAGUUUUGUGUUUUUAUUGAAGGCUGUGUCCAUGGCACAGUGUCAAAUUUUGAUCAUUCAGCCAUUAAAUUUUUUAGUUGCUAUCAUUCACAUGUACAUUAUCCAAUCAGGCCCAAACUUCAUAGUAGUGUGAUAACGGACCGC
This is a long non-coding RNA of Oreochromis aureus, 2263 nucleotides long. The record is from Ensembl. NCBI's taxonomy places the organism in Eukaryota, Metazoa, Chordata, Actinopteri, Cichliformes, Cichlidae.